CCUACGGGCUGCAGCAGCCAGGAAUCUUGGGCAAUGGGCGAAAGCCUGACCCAGCAACGCCGUGUGGGCGAUGAAGGCCUUCGGGUCGUAAAGCCCUGUUGAUAGGGACGAAGGGCGAAGGGUUAAUAGCCCCUAGCCUGACGGUACCUUUCGAGGAAGCCCCGGCUAACUACGUGCCAGCAGCCGCGGUAAUACGUAGGGGGCGAGCGUUGUCCGGAAUUAUUGGGCGUAAAGAGCGUGUAGGCGGUUCGGUAAGUCUGUCGUGAAAUCCUGGGGCUCAACCCCGGGCGUGCGAUGGAUGCUGCCGGGCUAGAGGGUGGUAGAGGCGAGUGGAAUUCCCGGUGUAGCGGUGAAAUGCGCAGAUAUCGGGAGGAACACCAGUAGCGAAGGCGGCUCGCUGGGCCACACCUGACGCUGAGACGCGAAAGCUAGGGGAGCGAACAGGAUUAGAUACCCUUGUAGUC
Molecule: ribosomal RNA, 464 nt
Filed under: uncultured bacterium
Lineage: Bacteria
Description: bacterial SSU rRNA
Rfam family: Bacterial small subunit ribosomal RNA
Source: RNAcentral